GAUGAACGCUGGCGGCGUGCCUAAUACAUGCAAGUCGAGCGAACAGAUGAGGAGCUUGCUCCUCUGACGUUAGCGGCGGACGGGUGAGUAACGCGUGGAUAACCUACCUAUAAGACUGGGAUAACUUCGGGAAACCGGAGCUAAUACCGGAUAAUAUAUUGAACCGCAUGGUUCAAUAGUGAAAGACGGUUUUGCUGUCACUUAUAGAUGGAUCCGCGCCGCAUUAGCUAGUUGGUAAGGUAACGGCUUACCAAGGCAACGAUGCGUAGCCGACCUGAGAGGGUGAUCGGCCACACUGGAACUGAGACACGGUCCAGACUCCUACGGGAGGCGGCAGUAGGGAAUCUUCCGCAAUGGGCGAAAGCCUGACGGAGCAACGCCGCGUGAGUGAUGAAGGUCUUCGGAUCGUAAAACUCUGUUAUUAGGGAAGAACAAAUGUGUAAGUAACUAUGCACGUCUUGACGGUACCUAAUCAGAAAGCCACGGCUAACUACGUGCCAGCAGCCGCGGUAAUACGUAGGGCGCGAGCGUUGUCCGGAAUUAUUGGGCGUAAAGGGCUUGUAGGCGGUUGGUCGCGUCUGCCGUGAAAUCCUCUGGCUUAACUGGGGGCGUGCGGUGGGUACGGGCUGACUUGAGUGCGGUAGGGGAGACUGGAACUCCUGGUGUAGCGGUGGAAUGCGCAGAUAUCAGGAAGAACACCGGUGGCGAAGGCGGGUCUCUGGGCCGUUACUGACGCUGAGGAGCGAAAGCGUGGGGAGCGAACAGGAUUAGAUACCCUGGUAGUCCACGCUGUAAACGUUGGGCACUAGGUGUGGGGGCCACCCGUGGUUUCUGCGCCGUAGCUAACGCUUUAAGUGCCCCGCCUGGGGAGUACGGCCGCAAGGCUAAAACUCAAAGGAAUUGACGGGGGCCCGCACAAGCGGCGGAGCAUGCGGAUUAAUUCGAUGCAACGCGAAGAACCUUACCAAGGCUUGACAUGCACGGCGGCACUGCAGAGAUGUGGUGGCAUUUAGUUGGUCGUGUGCAGGUGGUGCAUGGUUGUCGUCAGCUCGUGUCGUGAGAUGUUGGGUUAAGUCCCGCAACGAGCGCAACCCUUGCCCUAUGUUGCCAGCACGUGAUGGUGGGGACUCGUGGGGGACUGCCGGGGUUAACUCGGAGGAAGGUGGGGAUGACGUCAAAUCAUCAUGCCCCUUAUGUCUUGGGCUUCACGCAUGCUACAAUGGCUGGUACAGAGGGUUGCGAUACUGUGAGGUGGAGCGAAUCCCUUAAAGCCAGUCUCAGUUCGGAUUGGGGUCUGCAACUCGACCCCAUGAAGGUGGAGUCGCUAGUAAUCGCAGAUCAGCAACGCUGCGGUGAAUACGUUCUCGGGCCU
This 1372-nucleotide ribosomal RNA is filed under the name uncultured bacterium. RNAcentral's name for it is "partial 16S ribosomal RNA". It matches the Rfam family "Bacterial small subunit ribosomal RNA", at positions 28 to 1381 of the family's 1533-position model. The record is from RNAcentral.